GUCAACUCACAUAUUCGUCUUAACUUUGGUAUCACACCAAGGUCAAGUCCAUGAUGUAUAUUUCCAACACUUAUUAAUUGAUAUGAAAACUUAUAAUUAAUGCACGGAUAAUGUAUACGUAUAAAUUAAAUAGAAGUCGUGAUUCAUCAUGGAUUAGAUGAUGGUUACGAAAUUUAUUAUUGGUCCGUUUGUUAGCGGGAAAAUUUACUAUUGGCCCGUCUACUAGCGGGAUGUGGAAUGAAGAUGAUGAUCAGUACGUAGUAAUUAUGCUUUAACAACUCUUGACAAUACCGCUACAUGAAUGAAUCUGCCUAAUCAAGAAUUAAUUCAAUACGCUGAAACAAAAUCUGUAUAACAAACUGAUUUGGGGUACAAAGAACCGAAAAAAUCAGUAUGGCAGAAUCGUCUCGAAACAGUGAAGCCCAUCAAAUUCCACACCAAAUCUCGGCACCUUCCGCUGCCGGCGUCCCCUCAUCAUCUCUUCCGAUUCAAUACCUUGCUGCUGCUUCUUCUGCGGCGGCGGCGGCGACUGGCCGUCGUNNNCGUGUCCCGCGCGUCCCUCCCCCCCGCCUCUGGCAGUGAUUUCUUACUCCCGCUGGAAUGGCUGGAAGGCAUGUUAUUGGUCUUCUGCCCGAAGAACUCUCUCGACAGAACAUCGAACGAGCUGAACAUCGACAUCAUCAUCUUUAAUCACUCUGGAUGAAUUGAUCUCUGAAUAUGAAUAUAUUAUGAUUAAGUUUGAUGAUUCUCGUUCUGCGUCGGAAGGGUAUAUAUACAGUUGGGAGGAUUUCCUGGAAGCGGCUGGAAACUUCGUUGACUUCCUGGUCAGAGUCGGAAACGCGGACGCGGCGUUUUGGACUCUUCGUUUGUCCGGAUGGGUUUAAG
Molecule: long non-coding RNA, 885 nt
Filed under: Linum usitatissimum (flax)
Lineage: Eukaryota; Viridiplantae; Streptophyta; Magnoliopsida; Malpighiales; Linaceae
Description: long non-coding RNA (LUSI_LNC005121)
Source: RNAcentral